Molecule: ribosomal RNA, 482 nt
Filed under: uncultured bacterium
Lineage: Bacteria
Description: bacterial SSU rRNA
Rfam family: Bacterial small subunit ribosomal RNA
Source: RNAcentral
UUGAACGCUGGCGGAAUGCUUUACACAUGCAAGUCGAACGGCAGCACGGGGGCAACCCUGGUGGCGAGUGGCGAACGGGUGAGUAAUACCUAGGAACAUGUCCAGUAGUGGGGGAUAACGCAGCGAAAGCUGUGCUAAUACCGCAUAUGCCCUGAGGGGGAAAGGGGGGGAUCGCAAGACCUCUCGCUUUCGGAGUGGCCGAUAUCGGAUUAGCUAGUAGGUGAGGUAAAGGCUCACCUAGGCGACGAUCCGUAGCUGGUCUGAGAGGACGACCAGCCACACUGGAACUGAGACACGGUCCAGACUCCUACGGGAGGCAGCAGUGGGGAAUUUUGGACAAUGGGCGAAAGCCUGAUCCAGCCAUACCGCGUGAGUGAAGAAGGCCUUCGGGUUGUAAAGCUCUUUCAGCCGGAAAGAAAUUGCUUCUAUUAAUACUAGGAGUAGAUGACGGUACCGGAAGAAGAAGCACCGGCUAACUACGU